AUGACUCUCAAUAAUGGAUAUCUUGGCUUGUGCAUCAAUAAAGAACAUAGCAAAAUGUGAUACUUGGUGUGAAUUGUAGAAUCUUGCAAACCAUUGAGUCUUUGAAUGCAAGUUGCACCCCAAACCAUUAGGUUAAGGGCAUGCCUACCUGGUUGUCAUGCAUUGUCACCCCUCUAACACCUUACCCAUCAGGCUCUGGGUAAAGGAGUGUAAGAUGGCCUAUCGCGAUCUUAUUGGUCAUAGUUGGCCCAAAAUUGAGUCCUCUGCAAUGAUAAUGCUAUGACCAUUGGUGGUAAAGCUCCCAAUAUGCCUCAUAUUCGAUGACACAUGCUUGUUGUCCAUCUGGACCCCAUCGGACCCCCUUAUCACAUGGUUGAUGCUCACAUUGUGACCUUAGGUCAACCAAAAUUACUCGAUGAGUUUAAGCAUAUCAAUAGGCAAAGGAAAAGAAACUUACAAGGAAUUCCCUAGUAAUGGUGAGCGAACUUUGAAAAGCCUAACUUAAGAAUUGAGCACCCUCAAUGUCUGAAUUACAGUUUAGAGAAGUGUCCUCAAUGGCAAACUGAACCUAAGUCCCCUAAAAAAGGGCAUUAGAGAGCAUGAAAGCCCAAUUGUGCUUAGACUCUAUCGCACUAUAAGGCACUACAAGUGAGUUGGGUUGUUUGGGAAUGUAGCUUCAACCAGGCGAUAAAUUCUAUCCAAGGCUAAAUACAGAUGAAAGAUCGAUAGUGAACAAGUACCAUGAGGGAAGAUGAAAACGACUGUGAAAAGUGAGUCAAAUAGUGCUUAAAAUUGUCAAGAGGGAAACAUAUAGGGGCUGGUGAAGCACAUCAAUUGGAUGUGGAACAAUGAGAGCCGAUUUAUCGAUCGACUCAGGGCAUGGGACCGAUGUAGGUCAUGGCCCCAGCCUAAGCUUGGGUUUUCGAUAUGCUUAUGGCAACAUCAUCUCUAUGAUCAUGGAAUGUAGCACAUACCAUCUUGGUGUGCCUUGGCACUGAUGUGCUCCUAGCAUUUACUUGCAGGCUCUCCAUUUGACCUAUCUUGAAACAUGGACUAAGGAGUUUGGCAUGUUUGCAUGUCAACGAGCUAGAAAACUCAUAAGGCACAAGGAAAUUGAUUGACGGGAUCCUUCACAACUGCACCACUGAUCAACUUUGGUCUUCUAAGAAGGGUUUAAGUGUGAGCAUGCUUAUAAAGACUCAAAAAAUGGUGAACCAUGCUUAAGCAUGGCAAAGCCAAAGAAACUCUAGUUAAGGCCCACAGCGAUACUGACAUAUAAAUCAUUCAUCUAACAUGAGUAUAGGGGUGAAAGACUAAUCAAUCUAUCUAGUAGUUGGUUCCCUCCAAAGUUUCCUUUAGAAUUACUAGAGCCAUUAGCGAGUUAUAUUUGGUAAAGCCAAUGAUUAGUGGCAUUAGGGGUGCAACACCCUCAACCUAUUCUCAAACUUUAAAUAGGUAGGAUGGCACGAUUGCUUCACUGAGCCAUGCCACAAAAUUGAGAGCUCCAAGUGGGUCAUUUUUGGUAAGCAAAACUAACAAUGCGAGAAAAACCAAAAGCCAAGUUAUGGUGCCCAAUUAUGCAUUAACCUAGACUCAUAAAGGGUGUUGAUCAAUUAAAAUAGUAGGACGAUGGUUAUAGAAGUUGAAAUCCACUAAGGAGUGUGUUACAACUCACCUACCAAAUCAACUUGCCUAAAAAAUGGAUGGCGCUUAAGCACGUGACCUAUUCUCGACUAUCAGGGUAAGGGCUAGGCUCCAAUGAGUACAGGGCGUAGCGAUCACCGUAAAACCCAAGGUAAGAGCCCUAGUGGAGUGGCCAUCGAUGUAGAUCUUAGUGGUAGUAGUAAAUUUUCAAAUGAGAACUUUGAAGGCUAAAUAAAGGAAAGGUUCCAUGUGAAUGGCACUUGCGCAUGGGUUAGUUGAUCCUAAAAAAUGGGAAAAGCCCAUCCGAUAGCACAUCUGGUGUGAGCUUCGAAACAAAAUUGAGUUAUAAUUCUUAAACUAAGACACGAUGGUUGAUGGUAUCAUUAAGGAGUUUGAAAACAUCAGUAAGGGCCUCAGAAAAAAUUAAAUUUUUUAUUUAAUAGCUUGCCCACCCUAGAAAUGGCUCAGCCAGAGGUAGGGUCCAAUGGUCGAAAGAGCUCCACUCAUUAUGUGGUGUCUAUGCUCGAUCGUACUCAUAAUCACAUUAGGUCUCCAAGGUGAAUAGCCUCUAGUUGAUAGAAUAAUGUAGGCAAGGGAAGUCGACAAAAUGGAUCUAUAACCUUGAGAAAAGGAUUGGCUCUAAAGGUUAGGAAUUGGGGUCCCAGACUUAAAGCCAUUAGCUAUUGGUGCACUACUCGAGUUGCUCCCAUGGUGAGAGUGGGUCAUUGUGUGUAGACCAAGGGACAGAUUAGGAAUGGCUCCUUUAGGGGCCCUCUUAGGGCGACAAACAGUCAACUUAGAACUAGUACAGACAAGGGGAAUUCAAUUGUUUAGUUAAAACAAAGCAUUACCAUGGUCCUUAUGGAUGCUCAUGUAAUAUGAUUUCUACCCAGUGCUCUGAAUUUCAAUGUGAAGAAAUUCAACCAAGUGCGGGUGAAUGGCAAGAGUAACUAUGACUUUUUUAAGGUAACCAAAUGCCUCAUCAUCUAAUUAGUGAUGCACAUGAGUGGAUUAAUGAGAUUCCUACUAUCCUUGCCUAUUAUCUUGUGAAACCAUAAUGACAUUGCUUUUUGAUCCUUUGAUGUUGACUUUCCUAUCAUUAUAAAGCAAAAUUCACCAACUAUUGGAUUGUUCACCCACCAAUAGAGAAUGUGAGUUGGUUUUAGACCAUCAUGAGACAGGUUAGUUUUAUCCUAUUGAUGGUAAAUGCCACAAUAGUAAUUCAACCUACUAUGAAGGAACCAUUGAUUUGCACAAUUGGUCAUUAUGCUUGGUUGAAAAGGCAGUGGUCUAAAGCUAACAUGUGUUGGAUUAUGAUUGAAUGCCUCUAAGUUAGAAUCUAGGCUAAAAGUGAUGCAUGUGCCUACCUUUAAUUGCUGACCUAUAGUAAGGGCUCAUGCCCCUAAGGGCAAAUGUUGUAGGUGUAGCCCUAGUGGUAGACAAGCCAUGUGAGCCUCCUUAGAGCUCAAUUCCCAUCGAGCGAUGGGUAGAAUCCUUUACAGAUGUCAACACUUGGUGUGGGCACUUGCCUUAACCACCAUCUGUGCAAGCAGGCCCUUGGUGUGGGCUGUUACCUCAAACAACUCUUUGGUAAAUGUCGACACUAGAUGUGGGUUGUUGCCUUGGACACCCCUUUGGUAGAUGCUAGCACUUGGUGCAGCAUGUGUACCAUGACCUUCCCACCCAUGGCACUUGUUUGCCUUUCAAUCACCAUGGGCACCAAAUAAUGCUCAAUGCAUGUGUCAGCAUCUCUAAUCUUAAGCCAAACUCUAUGUCGCCUUGGUCAGGGAAUUGACUUCACCUGCCUAAGCCACAAAUUUAAUUCGAACCAUGAUUGUGUUUAGGCAUGCCCACACUUAGGUCUGACCAUUCACCUACACCUUGAUCAUCAGU
Molecule: ribosomal RNA, 3537 nt
Filed under: Durio zibethinus
Lineage: Eukaryota; Viridiplantae; Streptophyta; Magnoliopsida; Malvales; Malvaceae
Description: eukaryotic LSU rRNA
Rfam family: Eukaryotic large subunit ribosomal RNA (bases 389-3220)
Source: RNAcentral